This 459-nucleotide ribosomal RNA is filed under the name uncultured bacterium. RNAcentral describes it as "partial 16S ribosomal RNA". It matches the Rfam family "Bacterial small subunit ribosomal RNA", at positions 338 to 795 of the family's 1533-position model. The record is from RNAcentral.
CCUACGGGAGGCAGCAGUGAGGAAUAUUGGUCAAUGGACGAGAGUCUGAACCAGCCAAGUAGCGUGAAGGAUGACUGCCCUAUGGGUUGUAAACUUCUUUUAUAUGGGAAUAAAAUGUUCCACGUGUGGGAGUUUGUAUGUACCAUAUGAAUAAGGAUGGGCUAACUCCGUGCCAGCAGCCGCGGUAAUACGGAGGAUCCGAGCGUUAUCCGGAUUUAUUGGGUUUAAAGGGAGCGUAGGUGGAUUGUUAAGUCAGUUGUGAAAGUUGCGGCUCAACCGUAAAAUUGCAGUUGAAACUGGCAGUCUUGAGUACAGUAGCGGUGGGCGGAAUUCGUGGUGUAGCGGUGAAAUGCUUAGAUAUCACGAAGAACUCCGAUUGCGAAGGCAGCUCACUGGACUGCAACUGACACUGAGGCUCGAAAGUGUGGGUAUCAAACAGGAUUAGAUACCCGUGUAGUC